This 954-nucleotide non-coding RNA is filed under the name Pongo abelii (Sumatran orangutan). The record is from RNAcentral. Lineage: Eukaryota; Metazoa; Chordata; Mammalia; Primates; Hominidae.
CCAAAGGCUCCAUAGGAGUUUGGCAAGUGGGAAGAGAAUAAAGAUCUGGGUAAGGGGUGGGGAGGUUUUCAGGCAGAAGCACUGCACGCUGAAAGGCUGGAAGAGAAGGUAGAGUUUCACAAAGACUGGAGAAUGGAGUAGGGGAUGGGUGAGAUAUCAGGGCCAGACCCUAUAGGCCACUGGGAGGGAGAGGCAACAGAUCAAGUCCUGGGAGGCAGAGUUCUAGUUCAAGGCCAUUUGUAGCUUAUUGUAUAGCAUUAGACAGGUUUUUAGACCUCCUCAGACCUCAGUUUCCUCAUCUCUAAUAGGGGGCUAGAAAUACCCACACAACCUUCUUCUCAGUGUUGUCAGGAUUAAAUGGUUUGAAAAAGUUAAAAAUCCUCUGCAAAAGCAAGGAGUUUGGACUGUUAUUCCUAGAAACACUGCUUCCACGUCCUGGAUCCAACCCCAUUCCUCCCUUAGGAGGUCCACCAUGCCCCUCCGUGCAGCUUGAGGUAGGAAGUGUCAACCUCAGAGGAGAGUUGGAAGAGGAGAUGGCCAGGACUGGAGUUUCACUGUGACUUGGGAGACUCAGGGUCUUAUUGCCUGCCUCAGGGAAGAUCCCACCUCCCAGCCCAGGCCCAGAAGCCCUCCUAAGAUACCUGCCACCCUUUGCUCAAGUGACAGCUGCCAUUUCAUGACAUGACUCUCUACAUGCCAAGCCCUAUGCUGAGCACUGUCAUUCAGGGUCACUUCACAUUUACAGCACAGACUCAAAUCAGUCAGACUCAGGUUUAAAUCCUAAAUAUGUCCCUGCCCCAGUUCCCAUCAGUGUGGCCUUGAGGAAUUAAGCAUUCUGAGAAAAUUACUCAGUUUCCUCAACAGUAAAAAAAGUGCAUAUUAAUGAGACCCAGGUCAUAUGGUGGGUUACGAGGUUUAAAUGAGCUUAUUAAUAAAUCCCAUGAUAAACAAUGA